GGGCUCACACAAGCGGUGGAGCAUGUUGUUUAAUUCGAUGCAACGCGAAGAACCUUACCUGGGCUUGACAUUCAUGUGGUACCAAACCGAAAGGGGCGGGACCGUCUUUUGGCGGAGCAUGAACAGGUAUUGCAUGGCUGUCGUCAGCUCGUGUCGUGAGAUGUUGGGUUAAGUCCCGUAACGAGCGCAACCCUUAUCCUUAGUUGCCAGCACAUAAUGGUGGGGACUCUAGGGAGACUGCCGGUGUCAAACCGGAGGAAGGCGGGGACGACGUCAAGUCAUCAUGGUCCUUACGCCCAGGGCCACAAACGUGCUACAAUGGUCGGUACAAUGAGCAGCAAAGCCGUGAGGUGGAGCAAAUCUCAAAAAGCCGGCCCCAGUUCGGAUUGAAGGCUGCAAUUCGCCUACGUGAAGGCGGAAUCGCUAGUAAUCGCAGGUC
This 439-nucleotide ribosomal RNA is filed under the name uncultured bacterium. RNAcentral's name for it is "bacterial SSU rRNA". It matches the Rfam family "Bacterial small subunit ribosomal RNA", at positions 917 to 1350 of the family's 1533-position model. The record is from RNAcentral.